RNAcentral lists this ribosomal RNA (254 nucleotides) under uncultured bacterium. RNAcentral's name for it is "partial 16S ribosomal RNA". It matches the Rfam family "Bacterial small subunit ribosomal RNA", at positions 524 to 776 of the family's 1533-position model. The record is from RNAcentral.
CACGUAGGGGGCAAGCGUUGUCCGGAUUUAUUGGGCGUAAAGAGCUCGUAGGCGGUUCGGUAAGUCGGGUGUGAAACCUCCAGGCUCAACCUGGAGUCGCCACCCGAUACUGCUGUGACUUGAGUACGGUAGGGGAGUGUGGAAUUCCUAGUGUAGCGGUGAAAUGCGCAGAUAUUAGGAGGAACACCAGUGGCGAAGGCGGCACUCUGGGCCGAUACUGACGCUGAGGAGCGGAAGCGUGGGGAGCAAACAGG